GGCGGAGACCGACAGGAUGAUGCGAGACCGAGCGGGGCGAGGAUGCGCGUCUGACGGCGGCGAGAGGCAGUGAUUUCCCCCUUUGGUUUGGAUGCUGGGAUGGUGGGACCACUUUACAGAGCCGGGUGACGCGCACUAAAAGUCUAACAGAUUGAAGGCUGGAGUGAGAAGAAUGACCACCUCACAGUGGCGGUGAGAGUGGUGAGUUUUUGUUGGAUUUGGUGAUCGAUUGAGCAGGUUCAGCGAUGACGCCCAGGUGGUUUCCAUUGUGCCAAAGCGCACAGCGACCUCUGUUGGCCACACGCGCUGGAAACUGUAUGGAAGCAGCAAAAGACCUCGCAAGUAAUUAGGAGUUUAAAAAAAAAUUAUGUGCGUCUUAGACAUGUCUUACACUUUCAUUAUCCAUUCAUGUAGUGUUUUAUUAUCUGUGCAAAUAAAGACUCAACACCCAUUUUAA
Siniperca chuatsi (mandarin fish) is the source of this 457-nucleotide long non-coding RNA. RefSeq lists it as uncharacterized. The record is from RefSeq and is a predicted model, not a curated record. The transcript has 2 exons. NCBI's taxonomy places the organism in Eukaryota, Metazoa, Chordata, Actinopteri, Centrarchiformes, Sinipercidae.